Molecule: transfer RNA, 82 nt
Filed under: Omnitrophica WOR_2 bacterium GWA2_45_18
Lineage: Bacteria; Pseudomonadati; Candidatus Omnitrophota
Also listed under: 1 other name
Description: tRNA-Tyr
Rfam family: tRNA
About the family: Transfer RNA (tRNA) molecules are approximately 80 nucleotides in length. Their secondary structure includes four short double-helical elements and three loops (D, anti-codon, and T loops). Further hydrogen bonds mediate the characteristic L-shaped molecular structure. tRNAs have two regions of fundamental functional importance: the anti-codon, which is responsible for specific mRNA codon recognition, and the 3' end, to which the tRNAs corresponding amino acid is attached (by aminoacyl-tRNA synthetases). tRNAs cope with the degeneracy of the genetic code in two manners: having more than one tRNA (with a specific anti-codon) for a particular amino acid; and 'wobble' base-pairing, i.e. permitting non-standard base-pairing at the 3rd anti-codon position.
Source: RNAcentral
GGGCAGAUACCCAAGUGGUCAACGGGGACAGACUGUAAAUCUGUUGCGUUUCGCUUCGGAGGUUCGAAUCCUUCUCUGCCCA